UACGGAGGGUGCGAGCGUUGUCCGGAAUCACUGGGCGUAAAGGGCGCGUAGGCGGCUGGGGAAGUCCGUGGUGAAAGCUCGUGGCUCAACUGCGAGUCGGCCAUGGAUACUCCUCGGCUUGAGCACUGUAGAGGCAGGUGGAAUUCCGGGUGUAGCGGUGGAAUGCGUAGAGAUCCGGAAGAACACCGGUGGCGAAGGCGGCCUGCUGGGCAGUAGCUGACGCUGAGGCGCGACAGCGUGGGGAGCAAACAGG
RNAcentral lists this ribosomal RNA (253 nucleotides) under uncultured bacterium. RNAcentral's name for it is "partial 16S ribosomal RNA". It matches the Rfam family "Bacterial small subunit ribosomal RNA", at positions 524 to 776 of the family's 1533-position model. The record is from RNAcentral.